Molecule: unclassified non-coding RNA, 249 nt
Filed under: Hevea brasiliensis (rubber tree)
Lineage: Eukaryota; Viridiplantae; Streptophyta; Magnoliopsida; Malpighiales; Euphorbiaceae
Source: RNAcentral
AAGGAGGUAUCCCAAUUCUUCUACUAUUAUCUCCAAGAAAAUUCGACUGAAAAUGCUGUGCACGGCCUUGUGAGCAGUUCAUUUGAGAAAUUUUAAGUUGAUCCAUAGAGAAAUGAUGCUUUAAAGCAGAAGAGGAAGAUGUUCCAAACGAACAUUGAAGAUUUCGUAGGUUAUCAGUACGAGCAUCUUCAGUAUCACCCAUUUAGCCUCAAACACUAGAACGAUAAUGCUCGAAAGAGGAAAUAUAAA